CAGUGACAGUCUCAUUUGAGGAAGCUGAAGGCACCAGAUGUGCAGGACAGGGGUGGGUAGUGAAAAGAAGGAAGGAGGCUGGGACGAGCAGGGAGGAGGCCUUGCCUAGAGCCCGGGAGACAGCCAGAGUUGCCGUGGGCUCAGAAUGGCAAGAAGGUGCUCCUGCGGAAUCCCAGAUACCUGGUUCCAGGAAUCAAACCCAGAGGAGCAAGAGGGCAAGAACUCCCACAACAGAGGAGGCUGAGCUGGGGCUGAAGGGCCAUGCUGGUGCUGCUUGGAGUCUCCACCACUGGGAGCAUAGCUCGCCUGGGCGCCGGGCGCUGAGCUGUGCGCUUUCUGUUCUUUAUUGCCUUGAAACGUCACACUGGCCUUAAGAAAUGGAUACUCUUACUACCUUUUGCAGGUCUUGCCGGGGAAUCUGGAAGGAAAACCGCCCCUCCAGCAAGAGAAGGACAUUUUGACCCAGUGCCUCUUCCCACUGGUUUUGCAGAUGAGCCCUCCCUCUUCCCACCUGUUCCUCUUGCACCAGUUUUAGAGAUGACUUCUGCUCUGCUGGGCGCCCUUGGUGACUAACACAGGCAAGUGUGUGGGCCGCCACUUGUCCUGGCCUCUACCCCACCUCCCUGCCCCAUGUCCUCAUCGCUGCCUCGUGGCUUCUGGGGGCAAGGCCUCGGGGAGGUGUGAAGCUGUCCCCCCCACCUCCCCGAGCUC
RNAcentral lists this long non-coding RNA (711 nucleotides) under Zalophus californianus (California sea lion). RNAcentral describes it as "lncRNA (ENSZCAG00015010066.1)". Lineage: Eukaryota; Metazoa; Chordata; Mammalia; Carnivora; Otariidae. The record is from RNAcentral.